This 301-nucleotide ribosomal RNA is filed under the name uncultured bacterium. RNAcentral's name for it is "partial 16S ribosomal RNA". It matches the Rfam family "Bacterial small subunit ribosomal RNA", at positions 509 to 807 of the family's 1533-position model. The record is from RNAcentral.
CAGUAGCCGCGGGAAUACGUAGGGUGCAAGCGUUAAUCGGAAUUACUGGGCGUAAAGCGUGCGCAGGCGGUUUGUUAAGACAGAUGUGAAAUGCCCGGGCUCAGCCUGGGAACUGCAUUUGUGACUGGCAAGCUAGAGUCUGGCAGAGGGGGGUGGAAUUCCGCGUGUAGCAGUGAAAUGCGUAGAUAUGCGGAGGAACACCGAUGGCGAAGGCAGCCCCCUGGGCCAACACUGACGCUCAUGCACGAAAGCGUGGGGAGCAAACAGGAUUAGAUACCCGCGUAGUCCCUGUCUCUUAUAC